GAACAGGAACAAGCCCAGCACUGAAUCCCGCCGUUGUCACGGCGGCGGGAGAUGUGGUGUUCGGGAGGUUCCGCUUUCUCGUCGUCGCCAUCUCCUGUCCAAGUUCGUCUUGAACGGGGCCGUUUUCCCGUAGAGGGUGCCAGGCCCGUAGAGACGGAGGGCGGCGGCGAGAGGGACUCUCCUCAGAGUCGGGUUGCUUGAGAGUGCAGCCCUAAGCGGGUGGUAAACUCCAUCUAAGGCUAAAUAUUACCGCG
Molecule: ribosomal RNA, 254 nt
Filed under: Sarcinodes mongaku
Lineage: Eukaryota; Metazoa; Arthropoda; Insecta; Lepidoptera; Geometridae
Description: partial 28S rRNA
Rfam family: Eukaryotic large subunit ribosomal RNA
Source: RNAcentral